This 90-nucleotide transfer RNA is filed under the name Halomonas campaniensis. Its description in RNAcentral is "tRNA-OTHER". It matches the Rfam family "transfer-messenger RNA", at positions 284 to 374 of the family's 374-position model. Rfam says of the family: Bacterial tmRNA, also known as 10Sa RNA or SsrA, is named for its dual tRNA and mRNA-like properties. Its role is to liberate the mRNA from a stalled ribosome. Lineage: Bacteria; Pseudomonadati; Pseudomonadota; Gammaproteobacteria; Oceanospirillales; Halomonadaceae. The record is from RNAcentral.
GAGGCGUUAAAUCAAAAGACGGAAUCUAAGCAUGUAGAGCCAAUGGGCGCGUGCUGGCGGACGCGGGUUCAAUUCCCGCCGCCUCCACCA